Molecule: long non-coding RNA, 1852 nt
Filed under: Olea europaea (common olive)
Lineage: Eukaryota; Viridiplantae; Streptophyta; Magnoliopsida; Lamiales; Oleaceae
Description: long non-coding RNA (OEUR_LNC014179)
Source: RNAcentral
UGAUAUUUACAUUAAGGUAAGUAAUAUGAUUUUUGAACGAACCCCAGAAAUUUUUAGUCGGGAUUUUUGAUUAAGUAUUGCUAAUGGAAUAAUUGAGGUGAUGAAAUAUUCAAGUGAAAGCAUGAUUUUAUGAAGCUAGAUUAAAGAUAAGUUGGUUGUGUUCUUUGUGUCAGUUUUUACUAGAUUGUAUAGUGAAAUUAUUUUAUGCUUGGAAUUAAGUAUUUUUUUAUGAAUUGGUUAUUAGUAGAGGAACUAGAAAGUGGGAUUAACUUCAAUUGAUUAAAGAAAUUUGGGGAAGAUUCAAGAGAAAAUGUGAAAGUUGAGGAAUUAAGUGGUGACUUUGCAUUAGUUUAAUUGUCAUAUUUUAAUUUGAGUUAUUACAUUGGUAUUUCAAGUAGUGAUGUGGAAGUUGGAGAUGCCGGUCAAUUUAACCUGAUUUUUAUUCAUAGAGCUAUGAGUGGAUAUAAAACUUAUUUUUCACAAAUUAAUUAUUUAUUAAAUUUAUGUUAGAUUAGAAAAUGUAUUAUUUCAUAUAGUUGAUUUGAUAGCAUGAUUUUUACAAUAAAGUGGAUUUAUAAUUAGUUAUUUUUAAAGUUAAAUUUAGUUCAGUUAAAUUAUUUCAUUGGCAUAUUAUUUCAGUAUUAAAUAUUUUAGUAUAUUUAAAGUUAUUUUAAAACUACCAGAAAGUACUCAGGUGAUUUUAUCCCAGUCUACACUAGUGUGAAUGUGUUUCCACAGUGUAUGACCAGUUAUGGUGAUUUUACUCGCUCUACACUAUUGUGAAUGUGUUUUCAUAGUGUAUGAUCAAAAUUACAGAAUUUUAACUCUGCGCGCAUAUAACUAGAAUUACAGAAUUUCAGAAUUCCAGAAUUUCAGAAUUGAAUAGCUUUGCCAUGUAUAUCGGUACAAAUCGAUACAUGAGUGAGGUUAUUCCGGGGUAUUUUUUUUGGUGUGAUGUUUCAAUAUUUUUCUACAACUUAUCAGAUUUCAUAUUAUAGAAUUCAGUUUAUUCAGUUCUCAAAACAAAGCUUCCAGCCUAUAGUAUUGAGCAAUAAUAUUUCAUAGAUUUUCAUGAAUAUCAUAUUAUUUAUAUUUGUUACAUUUUACAGUUACUUAUCGAGAAUGAAGAACAGAGAAUUUUAUGAUUUAUUCAUGUUUGAUUUUAAAAGUGUUACCAGAUUUCAGAAUUUCUAGAAGUUUUAGUAGUACAAGAAUUUUCAGAAAAUAUGCUAAAUGAGAAAAGUUUACUUAUUUGAAAAUUAUCCACUCACUAAGCUUUAAGCUCAUAUUUUUUUUUUUUUACCUUUUUCUUUAUCAGACAUCUGCAACCUAAUUGAGUAGCUUUGGAGCCUGUCGAACCACCAAAUUGAGCCACGCGUCAUAGGUUUAUGACAUCCUUUAUCAGAUUAUACAUUAUGUGUUCUUUUAGGAUACAUGUAGUUUAAGUCAGAAAAAUUCAUCAUGGGCUCAUUACAUUCUUGAAUGGCUAGCAUUUUAUUUGAAUAGUUUGUAUUCUGAGGUAUUGGGUUGAGGAAACUUGGCUAUUGUUUAGGUGAUUUUAGCUCAUAUUUUAGGAGAAACUCUAUCAAAAUUUUGUUAGAAAUAUUUUUCAGUCAAGCAAGUCAAGUUGCCUUGGUGGUGGGUCCGGCGUUUAGCUAGUAUCUACCAUCGGCGUACAACACGUGUCGGAUCUACUAGGAUGAUUCGGACGGGUCGUGUCAACAAGCCUGUAAGAUAUGAGUUUUGAGUACUUUUUGAAAUCACGCUCAUGACAUUUCUACUGUAAGAGCACAUUCGAGGUAUGAAAGAUGAAAAAAAUUAUAUUUAGCAUAUCUUCAUCUGUAAUUAUUUC